This 208-nucleotide small RNA is filed under the name Marmota monax (woodchuck). Lineage: Eukaryota; Metazoa; Chordata; Mammalia; Rodentia; Sciuridae. The record is from RNAcentral.
UGAAAAUGAUGAAAAUAUCAUACCGUAUUCCAUAAGUAUAUGUAAUUAUUAAUUAUCAGUUAAAAUAUAAAUCAAGACAUUUAUAGAUACUUUGUACUGUGUUUUAGUGUGUGUGUGUGUGUGUGUGUUUGCAGGUGUUACUGAGAACAUAUGCAUGCAUUCUAGGCAAGUGCUCUAUCCCUGAUCUACACGCCCCCAGCACUUUUAA